Molecule: long non-coding RNA, 2855 nt
Filed under: Zea mays
Lineage: Eukaryota; Viridiplantae; Streptophyta; Magnoliopsida; Poales; Poaceae
Description: long non-coding RNA (ZMAY_LNC003205)
Source: RNAcentral
UGCACCACUCCUCGCUCCCGAUCGUCCACCAUAGCUCGCAAAUUCCCGUUUUCCCCCAAAUCAGCCAACAACACCGCCGUGAGGCAUCUCACUGUGGCCAGCCGAUCUCAGGUCCGUUUGUGUCCCUCUUAUCCAUGUUUCUGCCUCCUCUGACGCUAGUGAAGCUCUCCGUCUCGGCCGAUUGAACGCUACCGCACCGUAGCAUAGGGAAUGUCGCAUUAAUGUCCAGGAACGCCGCCGCGGACAUAGCUCACGUCGACCGACCGUUCCUGGUAAUCUCUAUCCAAAAUUGCGUGAGCACCAUAGCCCUAGUAGGUCACUAGUUGGUGCUGCAUCCUUGAAUUAAGCUAGACCGGUUUGGGUAGGCCAGUACCAGCAUGUCAACGAUCCAGUUCUGCCAUUGCCGCAGACAACUAGGUGUUAGCGACGCUCGGGUCAAAUUGAGCGCAUAAAUAUGUUCGGGUCGCAUCCAUGGGGGUGUCCGAGCGCUCGCCACCACAAGAAUGGGUCACCACCGGCGAGAACAGGCGAUUCCGUCUGGGUAUUCGCGUGUUCUAUGACCAGGGUCCUGAAUCGUGAAGAAACAGAAAUAGGAGGGCCUAUCUGCGAUUGUCAGUGAGAAAUCGGAAUAGUGUUCAGGGGCUCUUUACCGGUUAUUCAUUUGGCCAGGUACCUUUGCGCAAAACCAAUCCCGCGGGUGUGUUUCCCUGUUCGCGGGCCGACUCGGGCUAAUUUGAGCCCAUCACUACUCAUUCUUUUUCCUUUUCUUUUUACUGCCAGAUUAGGAAAUUUGUAGAAAAUAGUAGAAAAUUGGUAAAAUCAUGAGACCAAUUUUGCUAGACUCUUAAAAUCACAUAGUAUUUAAGAAAAAUAGUUCCAAUAUUUUUAUCCCAAACCUGGAAAUAUUUAACAUUUAAAGAUGUUCAAACCAAGCCUUUUAGAAUUUUAUAAAUAAUUUAGUAACUCCAAAAAUUGUGAAAUUUUUUGCGUAGGCUUAGUAUGAUAAUUGAUGAUCUUGGAUGAAGUUUGAAAUGUUUUGGACAUUGUUUGGUCAAAAACCCAAUUACUAACCUCCUAGGGUUAAGUUACUUAAUACUAAUAGAAUGAUAGGUUAGGAAACCCUAGUGAUUAGCUUGUACCGUGAAGGAAAGUUGUAUUCAAGAUACAACUUAGAAGAUACAACUUAGUAUGUUUCUAUUGUGCAACUGCAUAUUCAUGACAUCGCAUAAAUAUUCAUGUACAUGUAUUGUCAUGUAUAGAACACGAGGAAGAAACCAUGGUAGAAAAAGAAGUUGUCUCCCAAGCUGAAAAUCCUCCAGCCGAGAACAACUUUUACUUCGACAUCUACAGAGUGGACCCUGAACCUCCUGCAACACAAGGCAAGCCCCGGUGCAUUAUCCCUUUCCUUGCUGCUUUAAAACGUUAUCACCUUAUUUGAUGCAUUAGGUGAUAGGAGUUGUGUGUCAAACAAUUGAUGUAUUUCUUUCCAUAGAAAAUUGAUUACCAUUCCUUGAUUCCCUUUUAUGAAAAUGAUUUUUAUGAUGCUUAGUCUUGCUUUAGAAAAACAAAUGUUUUGUUUUAAGGCAAAAGGUGAUGCUUCACCCUGGAUGGGAAUUUUUACAAAGAAAAUACUUGUGAUGAGGAAUCCAUCAUGGCCGUGAUGGUUUCAACAACAGAAAAGAAGUACCUCUGUCAGGUACCAAACUUUGGGAUCUUAAAUGAUAAAAACGAGACCGGGCUGUGACUUGCACAAGAAGGAAGUCUCGGUGUAGUGUCUCCGUCUAAGUCGUUUAAGGAUCGAGCCAAUGUAGGCUUGAUGAUCGAGGACCUUUUAACUGGCCAUAUGCCUCAUCAUUAGUAAGCUUUGCCUCGGUCGGACCAAUACCAGAAAGGCUACCACACAAUGGGAGUGGAGAGAUGGCGAGAGUAGCGUGUACCCUUCGUGGCAAGAGGCUGGACGGUGGAGUAUAUGUGCUCUCAGUUGGCGUGAACCCAUUCUGGUCUUGAGAAACCUGGUGGCGAGUUGACAUAUGCAAGGGUUAAGUAAGUGCUACAUAUGUCGUGUGGUUGGAGAUCGUCGUUACUUCUCGGACAUGAAGACUUGGUCACUGACCUACAUGUAGCAAACAAGUGAACUGAAGGGGUGAUAAAAGAAGGCUAGUAUAGGCCAAGUGUUUGAUCUAGGAUAGAAAGGACUCUAGAUGCAGGUAACUACUUAACUUGAUAAUUAAAAAUGGAUUUUUAAGGAUCCACGGAUAGUAAGCUUUUCUGCAAAAAGAGUCUUUGAAUCUUGAAAGGCUUUACCUUGAUUCCCAAAAGCCAGCAUAUCCUUGAGAGUCUUUUCCUUUGACGGGUAAGACUUGCAAAAGUACACUCCGUACUCAGGGUUUUUGAACCCAUGUUGUUGUAGGUGAUGAAACGACGGAGUUCUGCUGUUUCUGUUCCAAGGUGGUUCCCAAGCAGGAGGAUGAACACUAAGCCUUAUUUGGGGAGAGUGUUUUGCCUCCUAGUGAUGUAAUAAUAAGUACGCACUCAAGUACUCGGAUAUGUAAUAACUACUCUUUCUAUAUUUUAUAUGAAUGUAAAUUAUGUUAUUGUAAUCAUGUCCGCUUAUUCUCUACUCCGAUGGUGUGUAAUGUCUGUGUGAUGGGUUAAGCGCUCUUGGGCAAUAUGAUGGAGAUACAGAUAACUGAGCUUGCCGAGUUAUUAUACACACCAGCAUGAUUGUCUGAGGUCCUCAGGACAAGGACAUUUGUAGGUGGGCCUAAUACCUUGGGAGGUUCCAUCACAGCUGGUAUCAGAGCGAAGCCCAUAUCUUCGGACAUUACUUAAUGCUUCAAAAGAUUUUAAAAAUA